RNAcentral lists this transfer RNA (92 nucleotides) under Candidatus Riesia pthiripubis. RNAcentral describes it as "tRNA-Leu". It matches the Rfam family "tRNA". Rfam says of the family: Transfer RNA (tRNA) molecules are approximately 80 nucleotides in length. Their secondary structure includes four short double-helical elements and three loops (D, anti-codon, and T loops). Lineage: Bacteria; Pseudomonadati; Pseudomonadota; Gammaproteobacteria; Enterobacterales; Enterobacteriaceae. The record is from RNAcentral. RNAcentral also lists the same sequence under 1 other name.
GCCCAGAUGGUGAAAUUUGGUAUACACAAGGGACUUAAAAUCCCUCAACUUAAUUAAAAUAAGUUAUGCGGGUUCAAAUCCCGCUCUGGGCA